RNAcentral lists this ribosomal RNA (252 nucleotides) under uncultured bacterium. RNAcentral describes it as "partial 16S ribosomal RNA". It matches the Rfam family "Bacterial small subunit ribosomal RNA", at positions 524 to 776 of the family's 1533-position model. The record is from RNAcentral.
UACGAAGGGGGCUAGCGUUGCUCGGAAUCACUGGGCGUAAAGGGCGCGUAGGCGGGCUGACAAGUCAGGGGUGAAAUCCCGCGGCUCAACCGCGGAAGUGCCUCUGAUACUGGCGGCCUCGAGGGAGGUAGGGCGUGCGGAACUUCCGGUGGAGCGGUGAAAUGCGUAGAUAUCGGGAGGAACACCAGUGGCGAAGGCGGUUGCCUGGGGCUUUGCUGACGCUGAUGCGCGAAAGCGUGGGGAGCGAUCCGG